This 444-nucleotide long non-coding RNA is filed under the name Pomacea canaliculata. RNAcentral describes it as "uncharacterized LOC112571285, transcript variant X2". Lineage: Eukaryota; Metazoa; Mollusca; Gastropoda; Architaenioglossa; Ampullariidae. The record is from RNAcentral.
CGUUCCCUGACCCUCGGCGUGUCGGGGAGAGGAGGAGGAGGGAGAGAAGUCAGUGAGUGGAGGAAGCUGGGAGGGAAGAAGACGGUGUGUGUCGAGGGAGAAGGAGGAGGGAAAGACGUUGUGGAGGACGUUUGUGUCGGGUAUCAUCAGCAGCACCCGGCACACGAGAUUUCGUGUCGCCAAGAAAGGAUUUUUGAAAGGGGCCUCGUGGCCAUUGUCGCAAGCUGAAAGAGCCACGUGCUGGAGACACGUCAAAGCACGAGCCGACACGCCACCUGAGACGGAGAUCCACGUGUGACCUUUCUGCUUCAACAGGUCCAUGGUUAUGGUCUGCAGCGCGUGCAACCCGACGACGAGAGUAGCGGGGCCUGCACUGAACUGCGCCUCACCUCCUGUGCAAUCCUGGCUCCAACGACAUGGCCGUUGCAGGUAAAUUCACCGCAC